CACCUCUCCACUCAAUCCCUUCCCCGGUAGGAACUUCCCCGGUAGGAAGUAGAGUAGGAACCCUCCCGCCGCUACUAGGGAUAUGCAAGCCACCGUCGGGGUCCUCGCGGACACACGAGAUGCCUGCCGUCACCACGCACACGAGCCACGGUGGGGGAGAGAGGGAGAAGUGACCAGCCAUGGCAAGGCGUCGGUCAUCCGGCGAGCGUGGAGAAAUUGGGACAGGGGGCGCCCGAUGUGGCGUCUGGUGGCGGGGCUAAGAAGGGGGCGGCAGAUCUGGCCGGAGCUGUGCACGUGGUGCGGCGAUUGUGGUCCCCGCGUGCUGCUCGUGGUAGGGACAAAGCGGCGGUCGCUGGCCUUAUCCGCUGCCCCUUUGAGGACUGCGUCGUGCAUGCCCCACCGAGUUCUACCAGGUCGCCGGCGGCACGCGCUCCCCUCACCCUGCCUGAUGCAAUCGGUGACUACCCUACCCCGUCGCCGGCAGACUAGACGGCCUGGGCGCGGGCGGUAGGCACCGCCAGCAGCCCAGCACUCCAAUCUCCGCCGACACCGUGGUCUAAAUGACGCCGCAGACGAGUCCCCUUAGAACGACCCAUCCUGGACGAUAUAAUAUGGUUCAAGCAUAAUCAUGGUGAUAUGAUUAUAUGGAGUAGAAGGGAGGAAGUUGUGUCUCAUCAGCAUUGUGUUCUGCAUCUAUAUAAAGCACAUCCAAGAAUCACUGUCCAAGGUCUCUCUUUCGAUUGAUAGCAUCGGUAGCAGGAUAUAACAUCAGGUUACAGCCUUUGUGGUACAGGAAGGACCGAAGGAGGAAGUUGGUGAGAUACAGAGGGAAGUUGAAUUGGGACGAGGGAUAGAGAUACAACCAGCAAAUGCGCCGAGGAACAGUAAGCUAACUCAGUAAGUAUUCUUCAGGUGCUAUUUUCUUCACCAGUUAACUCCUUCAAGUAUGCGUUCUUGUCAUCAGUACACACAGCCUCCUAUUGCAGCAAGGUUCAACAGUUUUGUGAGGCAUAUCUUACAUAUCUGCAUAUCAGUUGGUUUGAGAUGCUCACGCUUUCACUAAAUGUACCAUCCUUUCACUGAAGUAGUUCAAGCCUAUCAAAUUUCCUUCAUUCACAACCUACAGUUAGUUGUACCUAUUGUCUGCGGUGAUCUAACUAGCUGUCAAUGUCCUUUUCAAUUUAUAAUGGCACAUUAAAUCACAUGAAUUGAAAAUGCAUGCUUACUAGCAGUCAAUGGAAGAUCUAUGAAAAGCUUGCUUUCACAGGGGCGUUUGCGCAUUGGACGAAAAAGAAGCACAUCCACAUUGUUCAUACAUGGCAGAGGAGUUGGGGGUUUAUACAAGGAGAAAGUCACAAUUCUGCUGCAAACAGAUGUAUAUAUAGCGGCAGGACCGGAGAGAUGGGAAUGCAUCACCUCGGUAGUGCUAUAGGCCCAUAGGGUUGGCGGCGAUAGUUGGUGUCGGUAUUAUUGACACCCUUGCCAUUGCGGUGCUGGGAGUUCGGUAUUAUUGACACCCUUGCCAUUGCGGUGCUGGGAGUACUGCCAUGAAAGGUGCUGCUUCAAUCGUCGCGGACGAGGGCUCAUGAUUAUGAGCAUAGUAUCACAUGAUUGGGAUGGUAGAGACGUGCGUUGCACGUGCACGCUUACUAGUAA
Molecule: long non-coding RNA, 1656 nt
Organism: Triticum dicoccoides
Lineage: Eukaryota; Viridiplantae; Streptophyta; Magnoliopsida; Poales; Poaceae
Exons: 4
Source: RefSeq, a predicted model, not a curated record